RNAcentral lists this transfer RNA (73 nucleotides) under Verrucomicrobiia bacterium. Its description in RNAcentral is "tRNA-Lys". It matches the Rfam family "tRNA". Rfam says of the family: Transfer RNA (tRNA) molecules are approximately 80 nucleotides in length. Their secondary structure includes four short double-helical elements and three loops (D, anti-codon, and T loops). The record is from RNAcentral. Lineage: Bacteria; Pseudomonadati; Verrucomicrobiota; Verrucomicrobiia.
GCCUCGGUAGCUCAGUUGGUAGAGCAGUUGACUCUUAAUCAAUUGGUCCUAGGUUCGAAUCCUAGCCGGGGUA